Molecule: ribosomal RNA, 467 nt
Filed under: uncultured bacterium
Lineage: Bacteria
Description: partial 16S ribosomal RNA
Rfam family: Bacterial small subunit ribosomal RNA
Source: RNAcentral
GACGAACGCUGGCGGCGUGCUUAACACAUGCAAGUCGAACGGAAAGGCCCUGCUUUUGUGGGGUGCUCGAGUGGCGAACGGGUGAGUAACACGUGAGUAACCUGCCCUUGACUUUGGGAUAACUUCAGGAAACUGGGGCUAAUACCGGAUAGGAGCUCCUGCUGCAUGGUGGGGGUUGGAAAGUUUCGGCGGUUGGGGAUGGACUCGCGGCUUAUCAGCUUGUUGGUGGGGUAGUGGCUUACCAAGGCUUUGACGGGUAGCCGGCCUGAGAGGGUGACCGGCCACAUUGGGAAGGAGAUACGGCCCAGACCCCUACGGGGGGAAGCAGUGGGGAAUAUGGCACAAGGGGCGGAAGCGUGAUGCAGCAACGCCGCGUGGGGGAUGACGGCCUUCGGGUUGUAAACCUCUUUCGCCUGGGACGAAGGGUGAGGGACGGUAAUGGGUAAAGAAGCACCGGUGAACUACGU